UAUUAAAUAUCUUUCUAGUUUCUAGUCUUCAGCAAGUCGUCUCCACCACGUCUAUAUGACUACAUAACAAGAUGCACUGAGUUGCUGCCAUGUGAUUGGCUGAUUAGAUUUUUUUUUUUUAAAAACAAAGUGAGCAAGUGGAACUGAUAAAGUGGCCAUGGCCGGUUUAUAUAUAUAUCUAUAUAUAUAGAUAUAUAGAUAUAAUCAAUUUCUAAUGACUUGCAUUCGUCAGAAAAACCCUGUUGAUCAAACCUGUAGUCUUUGUUAGACAUUGUAAAUAGUCAUUAACGGGACAUUUAUAAUGAAGAGACAAUAUAUUAUUAUUUUACUACCAUA
Melanotaenia boesemani (Boeseman's rainbowfish) is the source of this 336-nucleotide long non-coding RNA. RefSeq lists it as uncharacterized. NCBI's taxonomy places the organism in Eukaryota, Metazoa, Chordata, Actinopteri, Atheriniformes, Melanotaeniidae. The record is from RefSeq and is a predicted model, not a curated record. The transcript is spliced from 2 exons.